This 497-nucleotide ribosomal RNA is filed under the name uncultured bacterium. RNAcentral describes it as "partial 16S ribosomal RNA". It matches the Rfam family "Bacterial small subunit ribosomal RNA", at positions 28 to 507 of the family's 1533-position model. The record is from RNAcentral.
GAUGAACGCUGGCGGCGUGCCUAAUACAUGCAAGUCGAGCGAACAGAUGAGGAGCUUGCUCCUCUGACGUUAGCGGCGGACGGGUGAGUAACACGUGGAUAACCUACCUAUAAGACUGGGAUAACUUCGGGAAACCGGAGCUAAUACCGGAUAAUAUAUUGAACCGCAUGGUUCAAUAGUGAAAGACGGUUUUGCUGUCACUUAUAGAUGGAUCCGCGCCGCAUUAGCUAGUUGGUAAGGUAACGGCUUACCAAGGCGACGAUGCGUAGCCGACCUGAGAGGGUGAUCGGCCACACUGGAACUGAGACACGGUCCAGACUCCUACGGGAGGCAGCAGUAGGGAAUCUUCCGCAAAGGGCGAAAGCCUGACGGAGCAACGCCGCGUGAGUGAUGAAGGUCUUCGGAUCGUAAAACUCUGUUAUUAGGGAAGAACAAAUGUGUAAGUAACUAUGCACGUCUUGACGGUACCUAAUCAGAAAGCCACGGCUAACUACGUG